Molecule: long non-coding RNA, 2116 nt
Organism: Bradysia coprophila
Lineage: Eukaryota; Metazoa; Arthropoda; Insecta; Diptera; Sciaridae
Source: RefSeq, a predicted model, not a curated record
UAAGGGUUUGAAAAAACGUCUUCUGCCGUUUCAUCACAUCCUUUUUUAAGACUCUUAAAAGCCAAGCCGAUAUAGAACCGAUUUAAAAAAUAACUGCUGUUCCAGAGUCCUGAGGUCUUGUGCUACACGAUGGCAUUUUAUUUGAUUAAUUAUUUUUCUGUUUGACAAUGGUUUUGUUGCAGCGACAUCUUUCAGUGAAAGAGUGAAUCGUUCUCUAUCAGUAGAGUUUUGAUUGAAUAGAGAAAAGAGAACUGACGCCGUAAUCCCUCUCCAGGCAUCCUUUGUUGUUGAUCGGUCUAAAAAACACUGUAUACCAAUACUCAUCCUAUUCAUCAUAAAAAUGCUGAUAAUAAUUCACUGGUCGACCACAUUAUAUGCAAAGUGUAUUGUCAUUAUUUCCACCGAGUCAACUCGUUCCAUUGCCACAAUUCAUAAGCUUAUCAAGCGUUGAUACCACUCCUACUUAAUGUGUAAAUUACUAUGUGAAUGAAUAAUUCGAAUAAUUUAAACUAAAUGGUUAAGUGACGUUGCAUUGUAAAUGCCAGCAGCGACGUGUUUUGAAUUGAUCAUUCGUAAUAAUCACGGGAAUCUGACGUCACUGGCACACACUUAUUGAAGCGAUUGCAUAUUAAGUCCGUAAAUGUGAACAUGGGCAAAUUAAAGUGGAGAACUUCCUGUCCCCGUUCCGUGUUGUUUUUCUGCGCAUAUUACCGAAUCUAUUAAAAAACAUUCUCGUCUGCCCAGUUCAUCGAGUCUGUGUAUUUGUCAUCGAGUGUGUUAACCAAAGUUCUUCUUUUAACUUUUUUUUUAUAAAUAAAAUAUUUUUAUUUACUUCAGCAGCGUCCUACUCUCAGAAAAUUUACAUUUUAUUAAAUUAAAAAAAAAAAAAUUGCCAGCGACAAGGUUCUUCGUCAAAAAUUUGUUCAAGUAACACACGAUUGACAAAUAAAGUUUGAUCCAACUAUUUUCAGAUAGUAGAUCAAUGCAUUGCAUUGAUUAUUAUGCAUUUAAAAAUGAAUUUGCUGUACAAUUUAGCACAGUUUACCGCGUGUAAAUAUUUAAGUGUUCGAUUCCACGCGCAAAAAAACUCUUUCAGUUUUAAAACGUAGUUAUAUUUUGUAUUCGUUGUUGCUCAGACCUGUUAAAACAAUUAUCCACCUAAGAAUUGAUUUUAUCUGGAAAUUCCAACGUUGAGUCUGAACGAAAGAAAAAAAAACCUUCAUUUGCAUCAACAACUAUUUUUCAAACAAAAUAAAACAACGAAGAAAAAAACGCUGAAAAAUAUUAAGAUUCAAAGAAUCUUGCAAAACAAAUUCCAUAAAUACACACAGUGACGCCUUAAUACGUUAAAUUUCCAUUUAAUAAGACACAGCAUUUUUACCUACCUGAUGUUUAUACACAUACGUAUUAUGUAUAGUUUUGAUACCUACUCAGUCAUCAUAUGUUAAGCAAUUUAAACAGCUGUAUACGAAGGCUCUUUAUUUAAUUUUGAGUUUGAAGUUUGUUUUUCUUUUUUUUUUAAUUUUUACGUUCUUCAGCAAUUUGGGUCAUUCAUAUAAUACAACGUAGUUGUAUUUGGUAACGUUUUUUAUUGACAAAAAAAAAUUAUGUUCAGAAAUACGUGAGUGUCUAUCGAAAAUUAUUACUUUAUUGGUCCGCGGGAUGAGGUAUUUUUAUGAGUCGUGCAUGUCAACAGUGUCGAUUAAUUUGUUUUUAUAUUUGGUAAAAGUAAGUUCUGCAUGGUAUGCAUACGGACGUGAUACACUCACGUUACACAACCAUAUAGUGUAUAAUAUCCACAAACUAAAUCAUCAAACAUUCAAUGGCAUCUACUUUGUCCACAUACCGAACCACACCAUAGUAUAAUACACAGCUACACGGUAUAGACAGUGAAUUUUUCGCUGGAGCUUACAUUCAUUCAGUAAAAACGAGUAAAACGCAUUUAUUAAAUUCGUAAAUUAAAUAUUUUUAUUGAGACAUGAAAGCAAUUUUCAAUGAAUUGAAUUCUUGGUGAAUGAAUCAUACAUGCCGCAUAUACAUAUUUUUCCGUUUAUGAUUAUCUAAUGCUGAAAAUGCACUGUGUGUGUUUGAUGAAAUUAAAAAUUAAGAAAAAAAA